CGUCCCUCAAGCGCGAGCUUGGUGUUGGGGACCGCCCCUGAGAUACGGCGGCGGCCCUUGAAUCCAUCGGCGGUGCCGGUGCGGCCUGGAGCGCAGCAGCGAUGCGGCUCCGAAAGGCGGCGCCAGCCCAGCCGGACGACCCCACGAAACUCUCUGAA
Molecule: unclassified non-coding RNA, 158 nt
Filed under: uncultured Pleosporaceae
Lineage: Eukaryota; Fungi; Ascomycota; Dothideomycetes; Pleosporales; Pleosporaceae
Description: sequence contains ITS2
Source: RNAcentral